RNAcentral lists this ribosomal RNA (254 nucleotides) under uncultured bacterium. RNAcentral's name for it is "partial 16S ribosomal RNA". It matches the Rfam family "Bacterial small subunit ribosomal RNA", at positions 524 to 776 of the family's 1533-position model. The record is from RNAcentral.
UACGUAGGGGGCAAGCGUUGUCCGGAUUUAUUGGGCGUAAAGAGCUCGUAGGUGGUUCGGUAAGUCGGAUGUGAAAUCUCCAGGCUCAACCUGGAGGGGUCAUUCGAUACUGCCGUGACUAGAGUUCGGUAGGGGAGUGUGGAAUUCCUGGUGGAGCGGUGAAAUGCGCAGAUAUCAGGAGGAACACCCGUAGCGAAGGCGGCACUCUGGGCCGAUACUGACACUGAGGAGCGAAAGCCAGGGGAGCGAACGGG